RNAcentral lists this ribosomal RNA (377 nucleotides) under uncultured bacterium. RNAcentral describes it as "bacterial SSU rRNA". It matches the Rfam family "Bacterial small subunit ribosomal RNA", at positions 523 to 898 of the family's 1533-position model. The record is from RNAcentral.
AUACGGGGGGACCAAGCGUUGUCCGGAAUCAUUGGGCGUAAAAGGCGUGCAGGCGGACAGGUAAGUCGGGUUUGAAAACUUACGGCUUAACCGUAAAGGUGGAUUCGAAACUACCUGUCUUGAGUUCAGCAGGGGAAAGCGGAAUUCCUGGUGUAGCGGUGAAAUGCGUAGAUAUCAGGAGGAACACCGGCGGCGAAGGCGGCUUUCUGGGCUGAAACUGACGCUGAGACGCGAAAGCGUGGGGAGCGAACAGGAUUAGAUACCCUGGUAGUCCACGCUGUAAACGAUGAGCACUUGAUGUAGGAGGAAUCGACCCCUUCUGUGUCGAAGUUAACGCGAUAAGUGCUCCGCCUGGGGACUACGGUCGCAAGGCUGAA